RNAcentral lists this ribosomal RNA (346 nucleotides) under uncultured bacterium. RNAcentral describes it as "partial 16S ribosomal RNA". It matches the Rfam family "Bacterial small subunit ribosomal RNA", at positions 338 to 676 of the family's 1533-position model. The record is from RNAcentral.
CCUACGGGGGGCAGCAGUGGGGAAUAUUGCGCAAUGGGCGAAAGCCUGACGCAGCGACGCCGCGUGAGGGAUGAAGGUCUUCGGAUCGUAAACCUCUGUCAGCAGGGAAGAACGGUCACGGUGCUAAGCAGCAGUGAAUUGACGGUACCUGCAAAGGAAGCACCGGCUAACUCCGUGCCAGCAGCCGCGGUAAGACGGAGGGGGCGAGCGUUAAUCGGAAUUACUGGGCGGAAAGCGCGCGUAGGCGGUAUGUCAAGUCAAGGGUGAAAUCCCCGCGCUCAACGUGGGAACUGCCUUUGAACCUGGCACCCUGGUGUGUGUGAGAGGAUAGUGUAAUUCCCGGUGU